RNAcentral lists this long non-coding RNA (397 nucleotides) under Ananas comosus (pineapple). RNAcentral describes it as "long non-coding RNA (ACOM_LNC036620)". The record is from RNAcentral. Lineage: Eukaryota; Viridiplantae; Streptophyta; Magnoliopsida; Poales; Bromeliaceae.
CGAUUCGGCUGAUAAAAGAUCGGAUCAGCCAGGUUCGAAAACUUUACAGCAAAUUCGGUUCAGCCGGAUGAGCCGAAUGUACGGAUUAAGCAAGAACUAAAGUCGGCUGAUGAGCCGAAUGGCUAAAGAACACAGGGAUUGAUCGGCUUGAAGAGCCGAAUGCCUUUAUAUUCACUGAUGAGAAGUAUAGGGGUCGAGUGCGCCGGAUGGCAUGCAGACUCGGUUGAUUUACUUAAAGAACUACUUUUAGGAAAAACAGUAAGUGCGAGAAAGAAAGAAUUACAGGUAGACUACUACUAGAAAAUGCAGGAAAUUGGAAAUAAGUCUUUUAUUCACAGGGAAAAGACACCUUUUUAGGGCGUUAUUGACCUAUUUAUAGAUCGCCCCUUAAUCAGUU